This 645-nucleotide ribosomal RNA is filed under the name Tylenchulus semipenetrans. Its description in RNAcentral is "eukaryotic LSU rRNA". It matches the Rfam family "Eukaryotic large subunit ribosomal RNA", at positions 367 to 858 of the family's 3401-position model. The record is from RNAcentral. Lineage: Eukaryota; Metazoa; Nematoda; Chromadorea; Rhabditida; Tylenchulidae.
CAAAGCACUUUGAAGAGAGAGUUAAAGAGGACGUGAAACUGGCACGAUGGAAACGGAUAGAGCUAGCGAACUCGUUCGUAUUCAGCCAACGGUUCUGGGUUCGGUUUUGUUGUGUUUCAGUUUUGUGCACGCAGAAUCGAGCGCCUAGAUUCCAAGGUGCAUUUGCGGACGAUUGCGCCGAGACUUGCAGGGCAGCGGUAGGACCCGGUUCAUGAGGCCUCCUUUUGGUUGUACCCUGGACUGGUAUACGACUGUUUGCUCUGCUAGUAAUGUUGGUUCGGCCUCGGGUGAAACUGCCGUUGGCGUUCUCUUGCGGUGGCAACAGCACGCUUUGCCUAACUUGGGGAUUCCGGCUGCGGUGUAGCUCUCGAACUGUCUCUCGGUGUAAAAUCUGGUCAUCUAUCCGACCCGUCUUGAAACACGGACCAAGGAGUUUAGCGUAUGUGCGAGCCACUGGGUAUUGCAAAACCUAUGGGCACAAUGAAAGUGAAGACUCGGUCGCCGAGCUUACAUGCGACUGUGCUAGCUUCGGCUGGUGCGGGCAGCAUGGUCCCGUUUCAGUCGCUUGCGACGGAGCGGAGACAGAGUGCAUGCGCUGAGACCCGAAAGAUGGUGAACUAUUCCUGAGCAGGACGAAGCCAGAGG